AACGCUGGCGGCAGGCUUAACACAUGCAAGUCGAGCGGGCAUCCUUGUGGUGUCAGCGGCAGACGGGUGAGUAACGCGUGGGAACGUGCCCUUCGGUUCGGAAUAACUCAGGGAAACUUGAGCUAAUACCGGAUACGUGCGAGAGCAGAAAGGUUUAUCUGCCGAAGGAUCGGCCCGCGUCUGAUUAGCUAGUUGGUGAGGUUACGGCUCACCAAGGCGACGAUCAGUAGCUGGUCUGAGAGGAUGAUCAGCCACACUGGGACUGAGACACGGCCCAGACUCCUACGGGAGGCAGCAGUGGGGAAUAUUGGACAAUGGGGGCAACCCUGAUCCAGCCAUGCCGCGUGAGUGAUGACGGCCUUAGGGUUGUAAAGCUCUUUUCUCCGGGACGAUAAUGACGGUACCGGAGGAAUAAGCCCCGGCUAACUUCGUG
This 433-nucleotide ribosomal RNA is filed under the name uncultured bacterium. Its description in RNAcentral is "partial 16S ribosomal RNA". It matches the Rfam family "Bacterial small subunit ribosomal RNA", at positions 32 to 507 of the family's 1533-position model. The record is from RNAcentral.